This 354-nucleotide unclassified non-coding RNA is filed under the name soil metagenome. RNAcentral describes it as "partial contains 5.8S ribosomal RNA, internal transcribed spacer 2, and large subunit ribosomal RNA". The stretch from base 1 to 120 matches the Rfam family "5.8S ribosomal RNA", at positions 35 to 154 of the family's 154-position model. The record is from RNAcentral.
GAUGAAGAACGUAGCGAAAUGCGAUAAGUAGUGUGAAUUGCAGAAUUCAGUGAAUCAUCGAAUCUUUGAACGCACAUUGCGCCUCCUGGUAUUCCGGGAGGCAUGCCUGUUCGAGCGUCAUUAAAAUCACUCAAGCUUAGGUUUACCUAUUGCUUGGUCUUGGAGAUGGAAGCCAAUUUAUUGGGAUCCUCUUCGAAAUUCAAUGGCGAAGACCCUUGCUCUCCCAAGUGUAGUAAUAACUUAUGUCUCUGAAGGAAGCGAGAAAUCUUCUGCCGUAACCCCCAUAUUUUCUAUGAUUGACCUCGGAUCAGGUAGGGAUACCCGCUGAACUUAAGCAUAUCAAUAAGCGGAGGA